RNAcentral lists this ribosomal RNA (407 nucleotides) under uncultured bacterium. Its description in RNAcentral is "partial 16S ribosomal RNA". It matches the Rfam family "Bacterial small subunit ribosomal RNA", at positions 28 to 526 of the family's 1533-position model. The record is from RNAcentral.
GACGAACGCUGGCGGCGUGCUUAACACAUGCAAGUCGAACGGAGAGGCGCACGGGUGAGUAAUACCUAGGAGAAUGCCCGGUAGGGGGGGAUAACGUUCCGAAAAGGACGCUCAUAUAGCAUAUUACAAGGUGAGCCCCGAUCGGAUUGGAUAGUUGGUGAGGUAAUGGCUCACCAAGGCUACGCUCCGUCACUGGUCUGAGAGGGUGAUCAGUCACACUGGAACGGAGACACGGUCCAGACUCCUACGGGAGGAAGCAGUGGGGAAUAUUGGACAAUGGGCGAAAGCCUGAUCCAGCCAUGCCGCGUGUGUGAAGAAGGUCGUCGGAUUGUAAAGCACUUUAAGUUGGGAGGCGUUACCGACAGAAUAAGCACCGGCUAACUCGGUGCCAGCAGCCGCGGUAAUUC